RNAcentral lists this ribosomal RNA (253 nucleotides) under uncultured bacterium. RNAcentral describes it as "partial 16S ribosomal RNA". It matches the Rfam family "Bacterial small subunit ribosomal RNA", at positions 524 to 776 of the family's 1533-position model. The record is from RNAcentral.
UACGUAGGGUGCAAGCGUUGUCCGGAAUUAUUGGGCGUAAAGAGCUCGUAGGCGGUUUGUCGCGUCUGCUGUGAAAAUCCAGGGCUUAACCCUGGACCCGCAGUGGGUACGGGCAGACUAGAGUGCGGUAGGGGAGAUCGGAAUUCCUGGUGUAGCGGUGAAAUGCGCAGAUAUCAGGAGGAACACCGGUGGCGAAGGCGGAUCUCUGGGCCGUAACUGACGCUGAGGAGCGAAAGCAUGGGGAGCGAACAGG